GGCGGCAGGCCUAACACAUGCAAGUCGAGCGAGCACUUCGGUGCUAGCGGCGGACGGGUUAGUAACGCGUGGGAACGUGCCCAAAGGUACGGAAUAGCCUCGGGAAACUGAGAGUAAUACCGUAUGUGCCCUUCGGGGGAAAGAUUUAUCGCCUUUGGAUCGGCCCGCGUUGGAUUAGGUAGUUGGUGGGGUAAUGGCCUACCAAGCCGACGAUCCAUAGCUGGUUUGAGAGGAUGAUCAGCAACACUGGGACUGAGACACGGCCCAGACUCCUACGGGAGGCAGCAGUGGGGAAUCUUAGACAAUGGGGGAAACCCUGAUCUAGCCAUGCCGCGUGGACGAUGAAGGCCUUAGGGUUGUAAAGUCCUUUCAGCUGGGAAGAUAAUGACGGUACCAGCAGAAGAAGCCCCGGCUAACUCCGUGCCAGCAGCCGCGGUAAUACGGAGGGGGCUAGCGUUGUUCGGAAUUACUGGGCGUAAAGCGCGCGUAGGCGGAUUGGAAAGUUGGGGGUGAAAUCCCAGGGCUCAACCCUGGAACUGCCUUCAAAACUCCCAGUCUGGAGUUCGAGAGAGGUGAGUGGAAUUCCGAGUGUAGAGGUGAAAUUCGUAGAUAUUCGGAGGAACACCAGUGGCGAAGGCGGCUCACUGGCUCGAUACUGACGCUGAG
RNAcentral lists this ribosomal RNA (666 nucleotides) under uncultured bacterium. Its description in RNAcentral is "bacterial SSU rRNA". It matches the Rfam family "Bacterial small subunit ribosomal RNA", at positions 38 to 750 of the family's 1533-position model. The record is from RNAcentral.